UGGAUCCAGACUUUGAUUCUGGCUCAGGAUGAACGCUAGCUACAGGCUUAACACAUGCAAGUCGAGGGGAAACGACAUUGAAAGCUUGCUUUCGAUGGGCGUCGACCGGCGCACGGGUGAGUAACGCGUAUCCAACCUGCCCAUCACUUGGGGAUAACCUUGCGAAAGUAAGACUAAUACCCAAUGACGUCUCUAGAAGACAUCUGAAAGAGAUUAAAGAUUUAUCGGUGAUGGAUGGGGAUGCGUCUGAUUAGCUUGUUGGCGGGGUAACGGCCCACCAAGGCUACGAUCAGUAGGGGUUCUGAGAGGAAGGUCCCCCACAUUGGAACUGAGACACGGUCCAAACUCCUACGGGAGGCAGCAGUGAGGAAUAUUGGUCAAUGGACGAGAGUCUGAACCAGCCAAGUAGCGUGCAGGAUGACGGCCCUAUGGGUUGUAAACUGCUUUUAUAAGGGAAUAAAGUGAGUCUCGUGAGACUUUUUGCAUGUACCUUAUGAAUAAGGACCGGCUAAUUCCGUGCCAGCAGCCGCGGUAAUACGGAAGGUCCGGGCGUUAUCCGGAUUUAUUGGGUUUAAAAGGAGCGUA
This 585-nucleotide ribosomal RNA is filed under the name uncultured organism. RNAcentral's name for it is "bacterial SSU rRNA". It matches the Rfam family "Bacterial small subunit ribosomal RNA", at positions 1 to 573 of the family's 1533-position model. The record is from RNAcentral.